RNAcentral lists this small nuclear RNA (102 nucleotides) under Echinops telfairi (small Madagascar hedgehog). The record is from RNAcentral. Lineage: Eukaryota; Metazoa; Chordata; Mammalia; Afrosoricida; Tenrecidae.
CAGUAGCACUCAUACUAAAAUGGGAAAAAUGGAAACAUACAAAUAUUAGCAUGAUCCCUCAGCAAGGGUGACACUCAGAUUUGCAAAGAGUUCCAUUUUUUG